Long non-coding RNA from Megalobrama amblycephala (Wuchang bream), 370 nucleotides. RefSeq lists it as uncharacterized. Lineage: Eukaryota; Metazoa; Chordata; Actinopteri; Cypriniformes; Xenocyprididae. The transcript is spliced from 3 exons. The record is from RefSeq and is a predicted model, not a curated record.
UUGUAUUUUUUUCUUUUACAUUGGUUUAUUAAUGCUGUAUAUUUUUCCACAUUAUUAAAAAGAUUGGUUUAGUGAACUUCACGAAAUUUUGUUCCUAUAUUAUUGUUCACAAGAUAUGUGAAUAUAACGUUAGAAUAGCGGAAUUUUUCUUUGGGAAUUUGUUGGGAACGUUAUCAGUGGAACACACCCGCGCGGUUUCCUCUUGCACGACAUGCAAUCAUGCAAUGAGGUUGAUGACGCAUGUUAUUUUCGCUUUUCCCCGCAAAAUAUUCAGUGUGUCCCAGAGAGGGAGAAGCUGUCGUCCCGUUGCUCCACUGAUUAUUUCCCCUAAUUACAGAUUGAGUAAAGUGCUGAAUCUUACCGUGUGGUC